Strongylocentrotus purpuratus (purple sea urchin) is the source of this 4625-nucleotide RNA transcript. It is a transcript of the gene named protein bicaudal D homolog 1, with no coding region annotated. NCBI's taxonomy places the organism in Eukaryota, Metazoa, Echinodermata, Echinoidea, Camarodonta, Strongylocentrotidae. The transcript is spliced from 6 exons. The record is from RefSeq and is a predicted model, not a curated record.
GGAAAUGUUCACGACGUUCCCGUAUGUUAACGUUAAUGAACAUUGUCCCCAUUGCAGAAAUUUUAAAGAGCUAGAGAGCUUUAACCUUCGGCCUCGGAUUACACUUUUUGGACACCGGUUUAUUUGGAAAAGACAAACCUCAACCUCUGGAUUUAAAGGAUGAAAACAAACAGGGACAAUUUACUACGCUGGAAUCAUCAUUAACAGUGAGGAUCAGCUGUGAGACCAAGACUGGAUUUCCACUGCAGGCCGCCGUACCGGGCUUAGCCACUUGAAAAUGCAGUCCAACACAUUCGCCAUGUUCGACUCAGACGAUGGUUCGGAAACCAUCGAAGAGUUGCGGGUUGAAAUUGGCCGAUUGAAAGAGGAACUUGCUUUGGCCAGCAAAGAGAAAAUACAGGCUGCUGAAUACGGUUUGGGUGUGCUAGAAGAAAAACAGUCGAUUAAACAGCAAUAUGAAGAUCUGGAUUUACUCUAUGAAACUUCUAAACAGGAGCUUCAGAUGGCAAAAGAGGCCCUGGAAUCGAAAGCUCAGUGGCAGCGGCGUUACUCAGAACAAGAAGUUAACCAUGAACAGAGUCUCCUGCAAGAGAGUGCCACCCGUGAGGCGGACCUCACCGAACGGCUGGCUGAGCUGGAGACCGAGGGGCGUCACAUGAGGCAGGAGGUGAGCCGGCUCCGGGUGGAGAAGGAGAGGCUUUACUCCAGGCACACUGAGAUGAACACCUCCCUCGAGCAAUCAGAUAAAGAACGAAAGGAGGUGAAAGAAGAACUGAGGGAGAUUAAGUUCAGGGAGAAGCGUCUUCUAAGAGACUACAGUGAGCUGGAAGAAGAGAAUAUUGCUAUGCAGAAACAGAAUUCGUCUCUGAAGUCAUCCCAGAUAGAAUACGAGUCUUUCAAACAUGAGAAUCGACGUCUUGCAGAGGAGAUCCAGUACCUGAAUUCCAACAUUGAAGACCUGAUGCGAUUGCGAGACAUCUCCGAGAAGCAGAUUGAAGAAACCAUGCAAGCCUUAGAGUGUGAAAGAGAUCAGAAACAUCAACUCAAGAAGCAACUAGAUCAGGCUAUGAUCUCGGAACUGGAAGCUAUUAAUGUGGAUCUGGAAAAUAAUUCUCAGUUCCAUUACAUGGAAGAGGACUAUGAAGAUGAAGAAUGUGUUGGUCAUCCUCUACUCCGGCGUUAUGAACGACAGAUGAGAGAUGACAACGGAGGAGAAGAAGAAACCAAUAUUGGUCAAGAAGCAUCGGAUUUGUUCAGUGAACUGCAAUCCAUGGAGGUGCAGAAUUUGGAGAAGCAGCUCAAACAAGUUGAAAGUGAAAAGAGUGAACUAUCAAAGCACUUGGAGAAAUCCAACUCAGAGCUGGAGACAACCCGCGAUGCCCUCUCGAGCUUAUCUGAUCUCAACAUAUCCCCAACAGAAGGUGAAAUAGAUCACUCUCAGUAUCAGCAUCUUGAUGAAGCCCAUCAAAAACUCUACCAACUGGUGAGUCUUUACAAGAUCCAAGAGAAGAAAUACGCUGGUGUGCUAAGUAAGAACAAGGAUUUGCAAAGUGAACUGGAGGCGUUGAGAUCUAAAGUUAGUGAUGCAGGGGCAAAGGUCGAGCUACAGAAGGAGGUUCAACUCAUGACUGACAGGAACAGGAAACAACAAGAUACAAUAAGAGAUCUCCAAGGACAGCUCAAAGGCAUCCAUGACAUGGUAGGAGAUGCGCACGGCCAACUUAACUUAACUCAAGAUGAAUUGGCUAAAGUAAGUGAAGACAUUGCUCAGCUCUACCAUCAUGUGUGCAUGGUAAAUGGGGAGGCUCCUAAUCGCAUCAUGCAAGAUCACCUCAAGGUCACCAGGCAGAGCAGGAGAGACGGCUUCCGUGCUGAGAUUGCUAACCAACUCAAAGAAGUAUCAAACGAAAAUGGCCAAGAGAAAUCAGGAGACGGUUUGGGUGCCGCUUCUCCUUCCGGUAGUCCUUCCAAACGAUCCAAUGAACAUGCCAAAUUUAAUGGAGACACUGUUACAUGUACAACCCUGGUCUCAACCGUCAGAGACCAGAUCAAAUACCUGAAGCGAUCUGUGGAGCAGUCAGUAGAAAUGUCCAGGCAACAUGGCACUGAAGGUAGUGGUGCUGAGAAUGAAGAUUUGCGUGACGAGGUUGUUCAACUGAAGGGUCUUCUCAUGACCAAACGUGAGCAGGUGGUCACACUCAGGACUGUACUUAAAGCCAAUAAAACGACUGCAGAAGUAGCUCUUGCAAACCUCAAAAGCAAAUAUGAGCAUGAGAAAGCUAUAAUCGCAGAGACAAUGAAAAAGUUGAGGAAUGAACUGAAGGCCCUCAAAGAAGAAGCUGCUAGUUUUGCUAGCCUCCGUGCCAUGUUUGCCAAGCGAUGUGAUGAGUAUGUGACGCAACUAGAUGACAUGCAUCGUCAGCUAUCGUCUGCAGAGGAGGAGAAGAAGACCCUGAACUCACUCCUGAGGAUGGCCAUCCAGCAGAAGCUUGCCCUGACACAACGCCUUGAGGAUCUAGAGUUCCAGAACGAGAUGAGCAGCAAUCGUAGAGGUCCUCGCAAACACAAAUCCUCCAAACGUCAUUCCAAGGGGAAACUACCGGUACUCUGAGGCUAAGUACCCACCAAAGACCUUUAUCUUUUUAAAUGACCAAUACAUCGUUAAAUAAAAUAGUUGAGGAAGGUGGAGCCCAGAGCCUACAAGGAGCUAGUGAUAAGAUAGGAGGAGUUUCUCAACCAAAGUCUACAUGGAACCUGUAGCUGAGGGAGUUUGUUGUCAACAGUCUACAUGGAACCCAUUAUGAGAUAGAAGGAGCUCCUAAGCUGCAAUCUACAUGGAGCCACUUAUGGUACAGAAGGAGGCCCUAACACAAAUUCAACGUGGAUCCUGUAACAAGAAAUAAUUAGCUUCAAAGCCAGUCUACAUGGAGCUGGUAAUAGAAGGAGCUUGUAGUCCACAUGAAGCCCAUUAUGAGAUAGAAGGAGCUCAUAAGCUGCAAAUCUACAUGGAACCCCGUGUGAUACAGAAGGAGGAGGCCUUCCAGUCUGCAUGGAGCCUGCUAUGAAAUAAAAAAAAAGCUCUUUAACCAAAGUCUACUGAGACUCAUUGUUAUGGUCCAUGGUCUUUGCAAACCUUGUGAUCCAACUAUAACUGGAAUUUAAAGGAAAUUUCAAAAGGAUGAGAUCUAAUAAUAUUUCAAUUUCUUAAAAAUCCAGUAAUAGUCAGCUUGUAAGGUUUUGUCUGUUAGCUGAGGAAUAGAUGGGAUAAUCUGUAUUCAUUUCUAGAUUUUACAUUGGUGCUAGUGCUUACAUUUUUAAACUGUCAUAAAUUAUAUAUUAUUUAUUCAUUAUUCACAUUAUUUAUAUAAACUAUAAAGUCAUAAAAGUGCAAACAUGACACUUUUGGUAAUUAAAAAAAAAAAAUUACUGCUACAUUUUCACAUGCCUCUGACAUGACCUCACAAAAAAAGAAAGAUGAAACCUCAGAGCUAACUGACAGUUUUAUUACAUUUCUGUUGCACUAUAAAUUAAAGUGGAUAUUCACACAUCAUGAUCUUGAAAUUGGUAUCAUGUAGUCAAAUACUUUCAUUUUUGAUCUCUAAAAACAUUAAUCAGUUGAACGAAAAUAACUUACUCAAUUACAAAUCCCUGACACGAAUGUUGUCUCACAUACUCAGGAAAAAAUGUUUAUUUUCAAAUGGAGUUCUUUUUCAUAGAUUAUAUUCUACUAACAUUGAUUUUCAUCUUUUGGGGCUUUUUAAAAUUCCAACUAUACAUGACCCUUAUGAAAUGAACUUGCAUACCGGUAUAUGAUUACCAAAAAAGUUCCUUUUAUCACAUAAGAUGAUAUGAUGAGAUAUUAACCAUUUUUGCACAUAGGGGUUUUUAAAUAUUUUAUUUUAUCCUCUCUUUACCCUUUUCAUAUAAAGUGUUUGCAUAUAGUCAAUAUUGAUAAAGUGGGUAAAGUGAUUUUGACUAUGGUUGUGUAAAUUUUGUAUAUUUUUAUACCAAGAUACACAAGCAGUGUGUAAAAUUUUAAUGCAAAAAAUAUUUUGGUUUGCUUAAAGGCUUUGGUAAUCAAGAAAGCUUUAAAGUUAGGAAACAAAACAGGGUGUGAAGUGGUGUGUUUGAUUGUUUCUGAUGUGCUAGUGGAGCUUAGAUUAAUCCCAGUCACAAAAAGAAGGCAAAAAUGUUGGAGGGGAGUUCUUUUUUGCCUUUUUUCUGCAAUAAGACAAAUGGCUCUUGUUCGAGUCAGCGCAGCAAGUUUAUUAUCUUUAUUAUUUUCAGAGUUUGACUGCAAUGGAAAUCUAGGGAUGAGAAGUAUCACAUGAUGUGAUUUGUGUAAUGGGAAUGCUGGAAGGGACAUAAAAUUUGUCACUUCAACCAGCUCUCACUCUUCCUCUUUCUGAUUGUGACAUUGUGCUGUAAUUAAAGGCCUACCCGUAUGGUUUAAAAUGUGCUAUCACAGUCAGACAAACCUGUGACAUUUUUGUGUUAAUAAUUUUAUCCUCGCCAUAUUGUGCCUCAUGUUUUUGUUUCCAAGAGCAGAAUCCGUCUUGUAAUUUUGUUUGUACACACGUCUAGCUGUUUGUAGUGUUUGUAUUUGGUUUGAAGAAGGAGGAAAC